AACGGCCAUACCAUGCUGAAUAUACCGGUUCUCGUUAGAUCACCGAAGUUAAGCAUCAUUGGGCGCGGUCAGUACUUGGGUGGGUGACCACCUGGGAACACCGCGUGCCGUU
This 112-nucleotide ribosomal RNA is filed under the name Caerostris darwini. Lineage: Eukaryota; Metazoa; Arthropoda; Arachnida; Araneae; Araneidae. The record is from RNAcentral.